UUAAAUAUUUUAGGAAAAUUGAAAGCUUAAAACUGGCCGCCGGUGCUCUAUUCUGUAUAAUCAUGUUCGUGGGUUAAAUUCUAUUGUCACUACCUUCAGCUAUUCCGUUGAAGGUCGAAUCGAAAGGGGCAAUGAUUAUAAUGAGAGAGGCUUUAGUAGGAAAUACCAAUUCUAAUUCCAUCUCAAAAUCAAGAAAAGAAAAAAAAAUAUAGGUCAGAAUUUGAAGGUGCCGCCAUCCCUUUUCAACGAAGGGGUUUGGCUUUGGUAUCUCAUAUUCUGCCGUCCUCUUCUUUCUCCGCUUCAUCUUUCCGUCCCUUCAAAUUGAAUUGAGUUUUUUCCUACUGUGAUAUGAGCCCCGAAACUUUACGAAUUCUUGAUUUUUAUGAAAUUUGUUUUUUCUUUAAGAUCUGUUGUCGUUUUUUUGCACUUAUUUGAUGUUUAGAUGGGGAAACAGAUGCAUGUUGUUUUCUCCUUGAAGAAUCGGUGCGUAUAUAAAAAGCUUGAUUAACAUGUUUUCAGAAAUUUUGUGAUUUUGUUGUAAUUGAGCAGCGGUCAGGCAACCGUAGGGAUGGAAUCCACAGAUGCUGAGUUUUUUUUCCUACUGUGAUAGAUCUUUCAAAAUUAACACUUGAUAUGCUCCGUAACUUUUCAUUUUCUUUACGAAUGUUAAUUUUUAUGAAAUUUGUUUUUGCUAUCGGUCUUGAUUCGAAACUAUACGUUGGCGGAUAAAUGUGUGUACCUGGUAAUGGUAUUGGUGGGCUAUCGGUCUUGAUUCGAAAUAUGUAUUGACGGAUAAAUGGGUGUACCUUGUAUUGGUAUUGGUUGGCUGUCGGUCUUGAUUCGAAACUAUGCGUUGGCGGAUAAAUGUGUGUACCUUGUAUUGGUAUUGGUGGGCUAUUAGUAUUGAUUCGAAAUUAUGCGUUGUCGGAUAAAUGUGUUACCUGGUAUUGGUAUUGGUGGGCUAUUGGUCUUGAUUUGAAACUAUGCAUUGGCAGAUAAAUGUGUGUACCUUGUAUUGGUAUUGGUUGGCUGUCGGUCUUGAUUUGAAACUAUGCGUUGGCGGAUAAAAGUGUGUACUUGGUAUCGUUAUUGGUGGGCUAUCAGUCUUGAUUCGAAACUAUGCGUUGGCGGAUAAAUGUGUGUACCUGGUAUUGGUAUUUGUGGGCUAUCGGUCUUGAUUCGAAACUAUGCAUUGGCGGAUAAAUGUGUGUACCUUAUAUUGGUAUUGGUUGGCUAUCGGUCUUGAUUCGAAACUAUGCAUUGGCGGAUAAAUGUGUGUACCUUGUAUUGGUAUUGGUUGGCUAUCGGUCUUGAUUCGAAACUAUGCGUUGGCGGAUAAAUGUGUGUACCUAGUAUUGGUAUUGGUAGGCUAUCGGUCUUGAUUCGAAACUAUGCGUUGGCGGAUAAAUGUGUGUACUUGGUAUCGUUAUUGGUGGGCUAUCAGUCUUGAUUCGAAACUAUACGUUGGCGGAUAAAUGUGUGUACCUAGUAUUGGUAUUGGUGGGCUAUCGGUCUUGAUUUGAAACUAUGCAUUGGCGGAUAAAAGUGUGUACUUGGUAUCGUUAUUGGUGGGCUAUCAGUCUUGAUUCGAAACUAUGCGUUGGCGGAUAAAUGUGUGUACCUGGUAUUGGUAUUUGUGGGCUAUCGGUCUUGAUUCGAAACUAUGCAUUGGCGGAUAAAUGUGUGUACCUUAUAUUGGUAUUCGUUGGCUAUCGGUCUUGAUUCGAAACUAUGCAUUGGCGGAUAAAUGUGUGUACCUUGUAUUGGUAUUGGUUGGCUAUCGGUCUUGAUUCGAAACUAUGCGUUGGCGGAUAAAUGUGUGUACCUAGUAUUGGUAUUGGUAGGCUAUCGGUCUUGAUUCGAAACUAUGCGUUGGCGGAUAAAUGUGUGUACCUAGUAUUGGUAUUGGUAGGCUAUCGGUCUUGAUUCGAAACUAUGCGUUGGCGGAUAAAUGUGUGUACUUGGUAUCGUUAUUGGUGGGCUAUCAGUCUUGAUUCGAAACUAUGCGUUGGCGGAUAAAUGUGUGUACCUGGUAUUGGUAUUGGUGGGCUAUCAGUCUUGAUUCGAAACUAUGCAUUGGCGGAUAAAUGUGUGUACCUUGUAUUGGUAUUGGUUGGCUAUCGGUCUAGAUUCGAAACUAUGCGUUGGCGGAUAAAUGUGUGUACCUUGUAUUGGUAUUGGUGGGCUAUCAGUCUUGAUUCGAAAUUAUGCGUUGUCGGGUGUGGUAUACUGGAAAUCAUAUCUCACCAUUUUUAUGGUGUCCUAUUUUUUCAUGCAUAUGGUAUAUUGUUAGAAAUUGGCUCAGAAUUUUCAAGAUGAAAAAGUAUUCAAACAUCAAGGAUGUCUUAGAGGAACAAAAAGAAUUGGAUCAACUUCUGACUGACUGACUGAAUUUUCGUAAUAAUGUUUUCACAUUUUAUUUUGUUCCAGAAUUGGAUCAACUGCUGACUGACUCUUUCCCAAUAAUGUUUUCACAUUUCAUUUUGUUCCAUAAUUUGAAUUUUCAUAGUGUUGAUUCAGCUCUAUGAUGGAACCAAUUUGUUUGGUGUGUGGAUAUUGGUAGUGUCAUCAGAUAAAGCCUAGAUAGUUGAUCCUUUCCAGUUGAUGGGAUCUGUGGGUACUUUAAUUUGGUCGGAUAGUGGAUGAAGUCUGCUGUGUGGAUCAGGCUGUUUUGAUUGUGGUUGUAGCUGGAUCAGAAAAUCAGUAGUUGACUCACUGUUUUAGAGCAUCCUGAUAGCAUUUUGCAGCAAUUUUAAUCCUGUGUGGUACUGGUGGUUUAAGCUGACUGGAGUAGUUUUGCUUUGAAGCAUAGCUGUCCUGCGCAGGCUCGCAUAGUGGUUUUUGUGCAGCUUUGUACUUGAGUAGCUUGGGAUGAUUUUGGUGUUAUAGUGGGAAAGCUUGGCACAUUUGAAGCGGUUCACCGCUAGAAUCGAUAACGGCAUAGUAUUUUCUAGGAUAGUCGGCAUAAUUUGGUACACUUCCAAGGGAUCCUAAAGAAUUAAAGUAAUCUCUUGUCGAGCUGGAUAAAACUAAAGAUAAAGGCAUUGUUUAGUAAUCCAAGAAAGAAAUCGGAUAUCCAAUACCUAAUGGACAUGGCCCAAUUGGCCGACAAAGUUCCACAAAUCGAACAAUUAAAGGCUUAGAAGGUCAAAACGAUAAAGUUUAGUAAAAAGAAAGUAGCUUAUGGCGAGAUAGACGAUGCAGAAAAUGCUUUUGACUCAGAUUAUGAGUACGUCGAAGAUGGCUGAUGUCAAAACCCUACCGGAACUUAUGGAAGAGGAGGCUCGGAGGCAAGAUAAACUCGUGUCCAAUUUGACCAACAUUAUUCAAGUGAAAAACAAGCACUUAUUUGAGAUUGAAGCAAGAUGCACCUAGACUAGACUACGGAAAAUAUGAAUUCUGCUAUGACAGAAAACAAUUUACUCAUUCUUAUAAUAAAGAGAUGAAGAAAAUACAGGCAAGUGCUAAGGAUCACUUCCAAAGGAUUUUUAAUGAUCACAAAAAGCUUAAAUCGAAACUGGAAUUUCAGAAAAGUGAGCUUGAUUUGCGGAGAAUUGCUUUGGAAAAACGUGAAGCACAUAAUGAAAGUGAAAGAAAAAAGUUGACACUGAGCCAUUCCUUGAAGCUAUGAAGCAAAGAUAUAAUGAGGAAGCCGAAGACAAAGCUACAGAACUAUGUUCAUUGUGGGAAGAGUAUAUAAAAGACCCAAAUUGGCAUCCGUUCAAAGUUGUCAUGAUUUACGGGAAAGAAAGAGUAUGUUUCUGUUAAACAUGGUUCUCUUUUUAUCUAUUUGGCCUUUUGAACCUAUAAUUCUGUCACUUUUUGUUAUCUGAGGGACUUACUGGUGUCGAGCCCUGUUUGGAAAUGUCAUAGGGGAUCAAUAGGUGAAAGAAAGAAUAGACAACUAAGAAUUAAAGAUGAGUAUAGAAGUAGGGGUUUCAAUCCGAUUCGAGUCAAUCCUUUAUGGAAUUACAGAGGUCUCUCCGGAACUGUUCUUGUGGAUUCAAUAAAAACUGGCCUGACUUAGAUAAUGCACUUGCAUUUUAAAAAGUGUAUGCGUUAGAACAUCUUGGGAAAAAGGAUUGGUUUGUUAAUACCGGGCCGAAGACGGGUCUUUAUGGAUGGGUUGCCCGAGCAGAUGAUUACAAUUUGAAUAACAUCAUUGAUGAACAUCUGCGAAAGAUGGCUGAUGUUAAAACUAUACCGGAACUUAUGGAAGAAGAGGCUCGAAGGCAAGAUAAACUCGUGUCCAAUUGACCAACAUUAUUCAAGUUAAAAACAAGCACUUAUUUGAGAUUGAAGCAAGAUGCACCGAGACUACGUCGAAAAUGAAUUCUGCCAUGACAGAAAAAGAUUUACUCAUUCAAUAUUAUAAUGAAGAGAUGAAGAAAGUACAGGCAAGUGCUCAGGAUCACUUCCAAAGGAUUUUUAAUGAUCACGAAAAGCUUAAAUCGCAACUAAAAUCUCAGAAAAGUGAGCUUGAAUUGCGGAGAAUUGCUUUGGAAAAACGUGAAGCGCAUAAUGAAAGUGAAAGAAAAAAGUUGGCAGAGGAGAUUGAGGAGGUAUAGUGUUUUUAUUUUGCUCCAUCCUCUAUGAUUGGGAUUCACGAAAACUUUAUAUUUAAUGAAACAAUUUUUUUGUGUACGCUAUUGAUUAUUACUCAUAUGGUUUUUUUGACAAAUGUUUGUCCAUAUGAUUGAUACUUAGAUGUGUUAGUGCUUUCAAUGAAGGAUAUCAACCAAGCUUAAUCAAUAUCCACUUUGCUUAGCAUGUUUAAAAUCAUGGAAUGAUUGGUUGGGAGUUUAUUUUCCGUUGAAUCUUCGGAUAGUUAAUUCUAAAAAUAUUGGAAAUAUGAUAAACCUGGUAAUUGUUCGAGUAGUACCUCGUUGAAGGUUGUGAAUCCAGAACAAGGUAGUGUUUGGAUUGCAGGUGUAUUUACUUUAAAAGGGAAAGUACCUCAUGAUUGAAUUCUUAUUGGAACCUUAUAAUCUUUGUAUAGGUCAGAAUUUGAAGGUGCCGCCAUCCCUUUUCAUCGAAGGGGUUUGGCUUUGGUAACUCAUAUUCUGCCGUCUUCUUCUUUCUCCUCUUUGUCUUUCCGUCCCUUCAAAUUGAAUUGAGUUUUUUCCUACUGGGAUAGAUCUUUCCAAAUUUACACUUGAUAUGAGCCCCGAAACUUUACGAAUUCUUGAUUCCUACGAAAUUUGUUUUUUCUUUACAAAUUUUUUGCACUUAUUUGAUUUUUGGAUGGGGAAACAGUUGCAUGUUGUUUUCCCGUUGAAGAAUCGGUGCGUAUAUAAAAAGCUUGAUUAACAUGUUUUAGAAAUUUGAUGAUUUUGUUGUAAUUGAGCAGCGGUCAGACAACCGUAGGGAUGGAAUCCACAGAUGCCGAGUUUUUUUCUGCUGUGAUAGAUCUUUCAAAAUGUACACUUGAUGUGAGCUCCGUAACUUUUCAUUUUCUUUAUGAAUGUUGAUUUUUAUGAAGUUUGUUUUUGCUAUCGGUCUUGAUUCGAAACUAUGCAUUGACGGAUAAAUGUGUACCUGAUAUUGGUAUUGGUGGGAUAUCGGUCUUGAUUUGAAACUAUGCGUUGGCGGAUAAAUGUGUGUACCUAGUUUUGGUAUUGGUGGGUUAUCAGUCUUGAUUCGAAACUAUACGUUGGCGGAUAAAUGUGUGUACCUAGUUUUGGUAUUGGUGGGCUAUCGGUCUUGAUUCGAAUGCAUUGGUGGAUAAAUGUGUGUACUUGAUAUUGGUAGGCUAUCAGUCUUGAUUCGAGACUAUGCGUUGGCGGAUAAAUGUGUGUGCCUAGUAUUGGUAUUGGUGGGCUAUUGGUCUUGCUUCGAAACAAUGUGUUGGCGGAUAAAUGUGUGUACCUGGUAUUGGUAUUGGUGGGCUAUUGGUCUUGAUUUGAAACUAUGCGUUGGCGGAUAAAUGUGUGUACCAGAUGUUGAUAUUGGUGGGCUAUUGGUCUUGAUUCAAAACUAUGCGUUGGCGGAUAAAUGUGUGUGCCUGGUUUUGGUAUUGGUGGGCUAUCGGUCUUGAUUCGAAACUAUGCGUUGGUGGAUAAAUGUGUGUACAUGGUAUUGGUAUUGGUGGGCUAUCAGUCUUGAUUCGAAACUAUGCGUUGGAGGAUACAUGUGUGUACUUGGUAUUGGUAUUGAUGGGCUAUUGGUAAUUGGCUUGUAAUUUCUACGAUAUUUCAAAGAGAGUUGUUGGUAUCCUGGAAAUCAUAUCUCACAAUUUUUAUGGUGUGCUAUGUUUUCAUGCAUAUGGUAUAUUGUUAGUAAUUGGGUCGGAAUUUCUAUGAUAUUUCAAAUUUUGUAGUUGUUAUACUGGAAAUCAUAUCUAAUAAUUUCUAUGGUGUGCUAUGUUUUCAUGCAUAUGGUAUAUUGUUAGUAAUUGGCUCGAAUUUCCACGAUAUUUCAAAGAGAGUAUUUGGUAUACUGGAAAUCAUAUCUCACCAUUUUUAUUGCGUCCUAUUUUUUCAUGCAUAUGGUAUAUUGUUAGUAAUUGGCUCGGAAUUUUCACGAUGAAAAAGUAUUCAAACAACAAGGAUGUUUUAGAGGAACCAAAAGAAUUGGAUCAACUGCUGACUGACUGUUUCAAAGUAAUGUUUUCACAUUUCAUUUUGUUCCAGAAUUUGAAUUGUCAUAGUGUUGAUUCAGCUUUAUGAUGGAACCAGUUUGUUUGGCGUGGAUAUUGGUAGAGUCAUCAGAUAAGCCUAGACAUUUAAUCUUUUUCAGUUGAUGGGAUCUGUGGGUACUUUAAUUUGGUCGAAUAGUGGAUGUAGUGGAUGAACUCUGCUGUGUGGAUCAGGCUGUUUUAAUUGUGGUUGUAACCACUGGAUCAGAAAAUCGGUAGUUGACUCUCGCUUUAUUAGAGCAUCCUGACAGCAUUUUGCAGCAAUUUUAAUCCCGUGUGGUACUGGUGGUUUAAGCUGACUGCAGCAGUUUUGCUUUGAAGCAUAGGUGUCCUGCGCAGGCUCGCAUAAUGGUUUUUGUGCAGCUGUGUACUUGUCAAUAGCUUGGGAUGUUUUUGGUGUUACAGUGGAAAAGCUUGGCACAUUUGGAGCGGUUCACCGCUAGAAUCGAUAACGGCAGAGUAUUUUCUAGGAUAGCUAGCAUAAUUUGGUUCACUUCCAAGGGAUCCUAAAGAAUUAAAGUGAUCUCUUUUACAGAAAGAUGUUGCACGGCAGUUUUGGAACUGCUAUUAUUGUCGAGCUGGAUAAAACUAAAGAUAAAAGCAUUGUUUAUUUCCAGUUUCCAUUCAGAGGCUGGAUGGUCAAGAACUGUGUUGGUCUUGGAAUAUCAGUCCUGGCACAUUAUGCUGACUACCGAUUAAGAGGUUUUGCUGCAUUAAAGUGAUACUGUUUUGCUGGUUUUAGUCUAGGUAGUGUCUCCCUCUUGAAAUUGAGUUUUAUUUUUAUUCUAUAGUUUGGUUCGCUUCAAUGCCUUUAUGGCUGACUCUAUUUUUGUUCAGUACUGGCAUAUCUUAUGCCAUGGAUAUAUUUUAAUUAUAAAUAAAUGACUUUUUUGCUAUUUUAAAAUUUUGUUUACUUCAUUGUCACCAUUUGUAUUCUUUUAAUUUGAUGAAAGAAGUGCUUCAAAUAUAUUAGUCAAUAGUGAGAAAGAUUGCAGGUUAAGCAUUGGUCCUAGAAAUUGGUUAAAUUGUGUGAUUAUGGAAAUAGAGAUUGCUUGAUUUAAAAGAUUCGGCAUUAAGUGUAAGCGAAGUUGAAUGGACUGGGAAAAGAAGUGGGUGAAAAAGCAUAUAAUGCAGUGGUGGCAGCUUUGACAGAGACGAUAUGUAACCUCUGAAUUAUGGAAUUACCAAACUGGAAUUGGGGGGCUAUUGGUCUUGAUUUGAAACUAUGCGUUGGCGGAUAAAUGGUUGUACCUGGUAUUGGUAUUGGUGGGCUAUCGGUCUUCAUUCGAAACUAUGCGUUGGCGGAUAAAUGCGUGUACAUGGUAUUGGUAUUGGUAUUGGUAUUGGUGGGCUAUCGGUUGAUUCAAAACUAUGCGUUGGCGGAUAAAUAUGUGUACCUGGCAUUGGUAUUGGUGGGCUAUCGGUCUUGAUUCGGGUCAACUGCUGACUGACUGUUUCACAAUAAUGUUUUCGUAUUUCAUUUUGUUCCAGAAUUGGAUCAACUGCUUACUGAUGACUGUUUCACAAUAAUGUUUUUCACAUUUCAUUUUGUUCCAGAAUUGGAUCAAGUGCUGACUGACUGUUUCACAAUAUUUUUACUUUUCAUUUUGUUCCAGAAUUUGGAUCAACUGCUGACUGACUGUUUCACAAUAAUGUUUUCACAUUUCAUUUUGUUCCAGAAAUGGAUCAACUGCUGAUUGACUGUUUCACAAUAAUGUUUUCACAUUUCAUUUUGUUCCAAAAUUUAGAUUGUCAGUGUUGUUUCAGCAAUAUGAUGGAACCAGUUUGUUUGGUGUGGAUAUUGGUAGAGUCAUCAGAUAAGCCUAGACAUUUGAUCUUUUUCAGUUGAUGGGAUCUGUGGGUACUUUAAUUUGGUCGGAUAGUGGAUGAACUCUGCUGUGUGGAUCAGGCUGUUUUGAUUGUGGUUGUUACUGGAUUAGAAAAUCGGUAGUUUACUCUUGUUGUGUUAGAGCAUCCAAACAGCAUUUUGCAGUGAUUUUAAUUAUGUGGUCCUGGUGGUUUAAGCUGACUAGAGCAGUUUUGCUUUGAAGCAAAACUGUCCUGCGCAGGCUUGCAUCGUGGUUUUUGUGCAGUUGUGUAUUUGUCUAUAGCUUGGGAUGAUUUUGGUUUUACAGUGGGAAAGCUUGGCACAUUUGGAGCGGUUCACCGCUGGAAUCGAUAACGAUAAAGUAUUUUCUAGGUUAGUCAGCAUAAUUUGGUUCACUUCCAAGUGAUCCUAAAGAAUUAAAGUGAUCUCUAGUACAGAAAGAUGUUGCACGACAGUUUUCGAACUGCUAUUAUUGUCGAGCAAUAUGGAUUCAGUUGAUAAUUUGACUGGAAUGAGCAAAGCACUGGAUAAAACUGAAGAUAAUGGCAUUGUUUAUUUCCACUUUUCAAUCAGAGGCUUGAUUGGUUAAGAGCACUAAGUAAAUUGUGAGCUUGGUUGAUCUUGGAAUAACAGUACUGGCACAUUAUGCCAAUCACCUAUCAAGAGGUUUUGUAGAAUCAAUGUCAUACUGGGUUGCUAGUUUUAGUCUAGGUGUGUCUGGUUGCUUGCUUACCUUGGAUCUAAGUUAUAAAUAAAUUACUUUUUGGCUUUUAAAUUUUUUUACUUCAUUUUCACUAUUUUUAUUCUUUUAAUUUGAUGAAAGAAGUGCUUCAAAUAGUAAUCAAUACUGAGAAAGGUUCAGGUUAAGCAUUGAUCCUAGAAAUUGGUUAGAUUGUGUGAUUAAGCAUUUACCUACUCAUUUGAUUUGGCUUAAAUGACUAAAAAGGGGGCAAACUCUGGAUUCUUCCACCAAUGUGUAAUGAUUAGAAGGAAGACAAACGAGAUAUGUAGCUUAGAGUCUCAAGAUGCUUUGAUAAGUGGGGUUCAAGAAAUAAAACAAUAAAUUUAUGAUCACUUCUCAAAAGUGUUUCAGAGGCAAAACGGUGAAUAGACCAGUUCUAAAUGAGUUUGAGUUUAGAAAGAUCAAAGCGUAGGAUAAUAUUGUGCUUACAGAGGAAUUUUAAGAGGAAGAUAUUUGAAGGACAGUUUGGGAUUGUGAUUGUUCGAAGAAUUCAGGUCCAGAGGUUCAGAUGAUGUAUCGUUUGGAUUUAUUAAAGAGUUCUGGGAUGUGAUUAAAAGUGACUUCAUUAGAUUAAUUGGAGAGUUUCAUAUGAAUGGGAGGAUAGUUCGUGGUGCUAGAUUGCAUUCUUAUAGCAAAUGAGUUGGUAGACGAUGCUAGGCGUAGGAAAAAAGUUUGGUGUUGGUAAAUGGGAGACCAACUAAAGAAUUUGUAGUCGGGAUAAGUCUUAGGCAAUGGGACCCGUUGUCACCGUUUUUGUUACUGACAGCGGCAGAGGGUCUGAAUCUAAUGAUGUCCAAAAGUGUAAAAAAGAACCUUUUUGACGGAUAUCAGGUUGGAAAUGGCUAGGUGAAGAUUUCACAUAUUCAAUACGCAUACGAUACAAUUAUAGUAUGUGAGAGAAGCUGGAAGAAUAUCUUGGCAGUUAAGGCAAUCUUGCAGUUAUUUGAAUUGGUGUCUGGGUUGAAAGUGAAUUUUCACAAGAGUUCGUUAACAGGGGUUAAUUUAAACCAAUCUUGGCUGGAGGAGGCAACAAUUGCUUUAAAUUGUAAAGUGGGGGAGUAAACUUUUAGUAUUUAGGGCUGCCGGUGGGAAGCAAUCAUCGGAGUGAACGAGAGUGGAUACCUGUGGUGGAAACAGUUAGAAAUAGUAGUCUUCGUGGAACAAUUAACAUAUUUCAGUGGGUGGCUGUAUUAUCCUACUGAAAGUUGUCUUGUAUGCUUUACCAGUCUACUAUCUUUCUUCAAAGCUUCAACAUGUAUUGUCGCUAUGCUAGAAUCUACUUUUAAAAUUUUUCUGUUGAGUGGAGGGAUAGAAAGUAGAAAAAGUGAAUUGGGUUAAGUGGGAGAAGGUGUGUCGUGCGAAGGAAGAAGGGGGUUUGGGGAUAAAAUCCUUAAGAGAUUUAAUUUGGCCUUAUUGGGAAGUAGAGAUAAGAGAUGGGAGACAUGUGUGGAUUAAUAGAUGGCAUGGAAUGGUUGUUGAGGAUAACAAGAAGUUAGAGGAAGAAAUUAUAGAAAAGGUGCAAAGAGUCAGAAUGAGAGCUGACACGAAGGAUAGAUGGAGAUGGCUCAAAAAUGAGUAUUCUGUCAAAGAAGCUUAUGCAUUGAUCAUUGAUGGCCGGGCAGCAGAAUCUAAUGAAGAUAGGUUUUUUCUGAUGCUUGGUGUAAUUUGGUGCCGCCAAAAGUCUUCGCUUUUGUCUAGAGAUGUAGCACAACAAAGUCCCGACGAGAGAUAAUUUGAUCAAAAGAGGCAUCUUGGUUGAAUCUCGAAAUUCUCGCGUGUUUGGCUACGGAAGAGGGGAGAGUGUUGAGCACUUGUUCUUCUAAUGUCUGAUAGAUUUUGAGGCUUGGAACGAGAUCCUAAGAUGGCUGAAUUGUCACAGGGGGCUGCAUAAUUCCGCAGCUUCAAACUUUUUUCAGUUCAGAUGGCUGUUUGUGGGGGCAGUGUCAUCAUGGAGAGGUAUUUGGUAAUUUGGUUUGUAUUCAUUUGGAUUAAAUGGAGGAGGCGGAAUGUAAAAAUCUUUAAGCAAGUGGAAAAAGAUGAUUUUGCUAUUGUUGAUGAGGUGCAGUUGACUUCUUGGAGGUGGCUUAAAGGUAAAGUUGGCGAAUUCAACUACUCUCUCGAUCAAUGGAUAUCAAAUCCAAGGGAAUGUUUAAGGUGUUAGUGGCGUUUGAAAGAUUGGGUGGCGAGAAGGUGUUGCAGGUGUUUUGCUGAAUCUGGGAGCUGUGCAGGCUCAAAUUUAGCAGAAUUUGGAUUUUUCAGGUUUGGAGAAAGUGUUGAGGCAGAUGGUCCAUCAGUUUUCUGUUUCAUGUUCCGGUUGGAUAUUCGAGUAAGUAGCGGAGAAUCUAGAGUUUCACUGCAGUGAUGUGAUGGUUUUUGAGUUCGCAGGUCUGGUUGUUAUUUUAGUUUGAGUAGCGUAUCUCUAAGGAUUCGGUUGCAUGGUGUGGUGUAGGUUGCUGUUAGGGAGAGGGUCUGGUUUUUUGCCUCUGUUUAACUGUUUUAUUCCAGUGUUGCAUUCUUAUAGUUUUGGUCAGUUGUUUUGGGUCUGCUGUGUACUUGUCAAUAGCUCGGGAUGAUUUUGGUGUUACAGUGGGAAAGCUUGGCACAUUCGGAGCGGUUCACCGCUAGAAUCGAUAAAGGCGGAGUAUUUUCUAGGAUAGUCAGCAUAAUUUGGUCACUUCCAAGGGAUCCUAAAGAAUUAAAGUGAUCUCUUGUACAAAAAGAUGUUGCACGACAGUUUUGGAACAUUGUGAGUUGUGUUGGUUUUCAGAAUUAAUGUGAUACUGGUUUGCUGGUUUUAGUCUAGGUGGUGUCAGGUUUCUUGCUUGCUUGCCUAGGGGAUCUAUUUUAGUUAUAAAUAAAUUACUUCUUUGGAUUUUAAUUUUUUUUUACUUCAUUUUCACUAUUUUUAUUCUUUUAAUUUGAUGUAAGAAGUGCUUCAAAUAUUAAUCAAUAUUCAAUACUGAGAAAGGUUGCAUGUUAGCAUUGAUCCUAAAAAUUGGUUAGAUUGUGUGAUUAUCGAAAUCGAGAUUGCUUGAUUUAAAAGAUUUGGCAUAUACAUGUUUGAAUCUAAUUUUGUAGGAAUGAUUAAGAUUUGGAAGUAUAGUCGUAAACAUUGAGGGGGGAAAAAAUAAAAAUGUGAGAAAUGUAAAUGUUGCUCAAUUUAAAUGUGCAAAAAAUUUAAUUUUCUAAUUGGGUGUGUUGGUUUGACGUUAAGAGUUUAGAAUAAAAAAAUGUAGGUUUCAAUGCUUAAGAACUUAAAAAUUCUAGCAUAGUUUCGAUGUCAUUUUGCUGUGAAUAUAAGAAGUUAAAAAUUUUAGAAUUUAAGUAGUUAGAAAUUCUAGCUGUUUAGAACAAAAAACCCAGGUUUCAAUGCUUAAGAACUAAGAAAUUCUAGCAUGAUUUUGAUGUCAUUUUGCCGAGAGUUUAAGAGCAUAGCUAGUUAGACGUGCGUUUGUGGCAUAUUCCACUGUGAAAAAAACACAUUAUAUAGAAAGACAAGAAUCACAUAUUGCUCUAUUCAUAAAAUGCAUCAUGGUGAAAAAAUUUAGAAGUAAAAACCAUAAAAUUUUAACUUUAAACAUAUGUAAAAGAAUAAGAGAAUUAAUAGAAGGGAAGUGAGUUAUUUUGAAUGCGAAGAUUAUUUGGAUUUUUUUGUUGGCAGAGGAGAUUGAGGAGGUAUAGUGUUUUUAUUUUGCUCCAUCCCCUAUGAUUGGGAUUCAAGAAAAAUUUAUAUUUGAUGAAGCAACUUUUUUGUGUACGGUAUUGAUUACUAUUCAUAUGGUUUUUUUGACAAAUGUUUGUCCACAUGAUUGAUACUUAGAUGUGUUAGUGCUUUCAAUGAAGGAUUUAUCAACCAAGGUUAAUCAAUAUCCACUUUGCUUAUCAUGUUUAAAAAUCAUGGAAUGAUUGGUUGGGAGUUUAUUUUCUGUAGAAUCUUUGGAUACUUUAUUCUGAAAAUACAGGCAUCAUGAUAAAACUGGUUUUUAUUCGAGUAGUACCUCGUUGAAGGUUGUGAAUCCAGAACAAGGUAUUUACUUUAAAAGGGAAAGUAGCCCAUGAUUGAAUUCUUAAUGGAACUUUAUAAUCUAUGUAUAGACUAUUUGUGCACUUCGACUGAGUGUGUCUUUGAUCUUAAUCUUGGUAGUGCUCCCUUGCUUGUUACUUAAGUCCUUGAUGAUGUGGGAGAAGAUAGUACCAAUAUUUAACAGUAAUUGUUACUGAAAGCAGAUCAAAAUGUUCUUAAGUAACAGUAAUUGUUACUUAAGUCCUUGAUGAUGUGUGGUUAUAUUCUAUGCUCUUAAUGAUAUGAAAUUAUGUUCUUACUGUGUCUGCGAAGUCAUUUAAAUAAUAUUUUGCUUCAAUAGAGCAACUGAAAGCAGAUCAAAAUGUUUUGAAACUGGCUGAAGAUCAAAAGGUCAGUACUGCCUUUUUAUUAGUUUUGUUAAUGAACAUAAGUGUGCUUGUCAGGUUCAGAAUAACGUAGUAUUUAUGCUAUUUGAAUGUCUAUUAUACAGAAACAAAAGGAACUCCAUGCUAAAAUCAUUCAGAUUGAAAAACAAUUGGAUAUGAAACAAAAGCUGGAAUUAUACCUAGAUUAAUGAAUAUAAUCCUAGUGGGCGAUAUGUAACCUCCGAAUUAUGGAACUACAAAACUGGAAAAAGAGAAACUUUGAAGGAAGGAGUACAAUUUUUGUUGAACACAUGGAAACGCAAGAAAGGAAUGUUGCGAAGGUUUGUAUACAAUUUUGUUACUCUAUAUUCAUGUUACUGAAAUUUACCUAAAACUGGUGGAAAAAAAAGAAAAGAAAUCUAUGACCAAUUAUUGUGUCUUACCCCUUUCCAUAUGAAUACUGCUACUGUUUUAAUAACAAUUUCAUGUUACAAUGGAUGGUUGAUGUUGAUGGCGCAAAUAUAAUAACUUAUGCAUGGCAGCUGGUUUGCACACAUCCAUAUUUGUAGAGCUGUGAACUCAUGGUUAAUGUAUGUUUAAGUGAUCUAUGGAUAUGUUAAACUAGUUAGUUUCACUAUUUCACUAGACAGAUGGUAAUUUUCAAGACUCAAAACUGCUUUUGCUCUAGAGUGAGUGACAGUCUUUGGUAUUAUCUCUAGCAUGGAAGACACAUAUUUUGAUAAGAAACUUGUAUGACAAUAUAUUACUAGCCUUUUAAUUAUCAAGUUUCUUUCUUCUUC
Molecule: long non-coding RNA, 14396 nt
Organism: Vicia villosa (hairy vetch)
Lineage: Eukaryota; Viridiplantae; Streptophyta; Magnoliopsida; Fabales; Fabaceae
Exons: 3
Source: RefSeq, a predicted model, not a curated record